RNAcentral lists this transfer RNA (75 nucleotides) under Camelus ferus (Wild Bactrian camel). It matches the Rfam family "tRNA". From Rfam's summary of the family: Transfer RNA (tRNA) molecules are approximately 80 nucleotides in length. Their secondary structure includes four short double-helical elements and three loops (D, anti-codon, and T loops). Further hydrogen bonds mediate the characteristic L-shaped molecular structure. tRNAs have two regions of fundamental functional importance: the anti-codon, which is responsible for specific mRNA codon recognition, and the 3' end, to which the tRNAs corresponding amino acid is attached (by aminoacyl-tRNA synthetases). tRNAs cope with the degeneracy of the genetic code in two manners: having more than one tRNA (with a specific anti-codon) for a particular amino acid; and 'wobble' base-pairing, i.e. permitting non-standard base-pairing at the 3rd anti-codon position. Lineage: Eukaryota; Metazoa; Chordata; Mammalia; Artiodactyla; Camelidae. The record is from Rfam by way of RNAcentral.
GAGGGUAUAGCUCAGUGGUAGAGUGAGUGCUUAGCAUGGAUGAGGUGGUCCUGGGUUCAGUCCCCAGUACCUCCA